RNAcentral lists this long non-coding RNA (202 nucleotides) under Mytilus galloprovincialis (Mediterranean mussel). The record is from RNAcentral. Lineage: Eukaryota; Metazoa; Mollusca; Bivalvia; Mytilida; Mytilidae.
GGGAGGUUUACCAAUUGCAGCAUGCAUUGUUUCAUGAAAAAGCCUGUUCCAAGUCGGGAUAUGACAAUUUUGUUUGUUGGUUGUUAUGAAUAGUUCUGUGAUUUUUCCAAUUAGUUUUGUAAUUCGCCAUCUGAAAAAUUAAAAUACUGUGGGUAUAAAUUUUCAAACUCAGUUGUUUGUGUUACAUUCAGUGACAUUUGAU